RNAcentral lists this microRNA precursor (99 nucleotides) under Arabidopsis suecica. RNAcentral describes it as "MIR390". It matches the Rfam family "MIR390 microRNA precursor family". RNAcentral also lists the same sequence under 2 other names. Lineage: Eukaryota; Viridiplantae; Streptophyta; Magnoliopsida; Brassicales; Brassicaceae. The record is from RNAcentral.
GAGAAGAAUCUGUAAAGCUCAGGAGGGAUAGCGCCAUGAUGAUCUUAUUUCAUAUCGAUUUUUUGGCGCUAUCCAUCCUGAGUUUCAUUGGCUCUUCUU